CUCUCGGUAGCUCCGUAGAAUUCACCCACCUCACGUAUAUCGAAUCGUUCUACAAAUUCGUGCCAAAUUUGACGUCGCAGCCCAUUCCCGUAUAUGAGGCGAACUUUGUGAUCUUUGUCGCAGUCAGACGGUGGGCGGGCAAGAAGAUAACGGCAUGUCUCGCCUAUGUAUUGAGCCACCUAUUCAAAUUCAAUAUAAAUUGGGAGAAUCUCUACUACUGAUUAUUGAUGAUCUGAAAAUUCUUAUGCACAACUGCCCAAAUAAAUAAAACC
This is a long non-coding RNA of Gordionus sp. m RMFG-2023, 272 nucleotides long. RefSeq lists it as uncharacterized. The transcript is spliced from 3 exons. Lineage: Eukaryota; Metazoa; Nematomorpha; Gordioida; Chordodea; Parachordodidae. The record is from RefSeq and is a predicted model, not a curated record.